AAUUUGUGCUAUAAAGUGAUGGGCUUGGGUGCAUGUCUUCACUGUUUUCAUGGUUUUGUAACUCCAUCAGCUUCCAUAGUUUGGAUUAUUAUCUGGGUGGUAGUACUGGUAGAAGCUGGAGUAACUUGUUGGGAAAAAGAAAAUAUAGCUUCAUUUAUUUAUUUAUUUAUUUUAAAGCACAUUUUCCUAACUUACUUGAUGGAGGCAGAUGUAUUAUUUUCAGUAAUUGUAAGGGUACGGUAUCAUGGAAGUGGAUCUCCUCAUUCAAAGUAAACCUCAAAUCCACGGUAAGGAAGAGGGAAGGGUUUAUGUUUCAUAUGUACCAGCUGGAUAACGGUGGGAUGAGAAGCAAAUGGCAGUAGCCACCCAAUGUCACACAGUUAAUAGAAACGGUGGUAUUGUAACUGCUGCGUCUUGGCUUUCCAGCAUUUCUUAAGAAACAGUAGGUACGAUACAUAACUAGAUACGUAUCUAGAAGGCGUUGCGGUCAAACUCCCUGUAGCAAGUUGAGUGUGCUCUGCAAAGGCUGUUAUCGAUUACCUCCUUUAUGAGUUUGUGCGUUGAGAUUGGACGUUUACAGCAAUAACUGCACUGACAUCUUUGUCUCUGAUGGUGGUACCUCACCGAAAACCUGCAGCAAUAAAACUACCUAAGUUCAUAGUAGUACAAGUGGGAGUUAGUUUCUCACUAAGUAGUUAAUUUGCCUUAAUUUAAUGGAGAAAAUAUGAUUUUUUGGGGGAAAGAAAAUGUAAAUAUAUGGUUUUAAAGUUCCAGUUUUCAUUCACGAAACCAAAUUAAUAUCCCUAUGUAGUACUUUUUAAAGGUAUAAAGGUUCUUGAGGAAUAUAUUGUUCUGCUUCAGGUUCUGUAGAGUGAAGGCAUUUGGAUAUGCAUUAUCUGUGUUUGAGGCUUUGGGGAUUUGUGUAAGACAAGGGCAUCUAUUAAAGCGUUUUGCCUAAAAUAUCCGUAAAAUCUGUACUUUUAAGAAGGGACUAAGUGUGCAGUAUUAACAAAUGGAUUGGCUUAGUCUUGUAGUUUCCUAGAAGUCUGGACUAACUACCUCUUUAAAAUGUACAGAAAAGAUAUAAGCUUCUUGAGUCCUGGUUUCAGAUAUGGUAGCGCUAUAUCGCCAUAUCCACUCACUGGUUCUGAUAACUAGAUGUGUGUCCAUGCAAGAAUUCUCUAUCAAAACUAUUAAAAACAACAGUAAAGGCAAAAAUCUGAGGAUAUUUUUUUCUUAUUUUUAUCUAAUUGUGAAUUUUAAUUGAUCUGAUCUGUGGUUUAGGUCAUUAUGACUGGUGUGUUUUUACAAUUUGAUAUUUUAAUAUUUCUCACUGAUAUUUCAGUGACAGAAGUAACAGGUCAACAGAAAAACUGAGGCAGGAGCAAAUGAAAAGGGAGUAUUAUCCUGAGCCUAAAUAUGAAUUACAUUGGUUUUGAUAUUAAAAGAGCAUUUGGAAGCAUCCUCAUCAACAUGCUAAUGUGGCAGUUCUGAGAGAAUCGAUUAUUGCAUGGCUCCUGGUAUUUUUAUUAAUGAAGUUGUAUGGAAAUGCUGGUGGCUUUUGCACGUAGACUGGGUCUUGCUUGAGCCAUGAGGUUUCUCAAACCUUGAGCAAUUUCGCCUUUUCAAUUUCUAUUGAUGCGCACCGCAGGAGGAACAGCACAAACGCCGCUACAGUCAGGUUCAGAAAUGACGUCAUGUUAACGCCAUCUCAUCUUUUCCCCUUCAUUUGUUUUGGAAGAAGCUGUGAUUGGCUUGGAUCUGUGGCUGAUGCCAUCUGGUUGCUCCUGAGCUGGCUGAGCCCCACGUCGUGCUCGCUGCCCAGGUAUCUCACGCUCUGCUGGGACAGGACACUGGUGGCUGCCAAGUGAUGGGCAGCGGGAGAGCCGAGGAGAUGCAGCAUCGGCCAACACAGGGCAGGCAGCCAAGCCAGAAUGAAUGAUGGCGGGAGGGAGAUGACAGAGAGAGGGGAGAUAAGGGGAGGCAGUAAGAGAGGGGUUGAGGAGACUGGAAAAUGCACAGGGAGGGCAGAGGAGCUGAUGGGUAGAUGUAGGAGAACCAGUGGACUGAAGAAGAUUCUUCAGGUCUUCAAAAUCUGUAGUUAUGUGGAAAAGCUGGGGGAGCUGUGUCUCUUUAGCUUGGAGAAGUGGAGACUGAGGGGUGACAUCAUUAAUGUUUAUGAAGGUGUAAAGGUUGAGUGUCAGGAGGAUGGAGCCAGGCUCUUCUCAUUGACAACCAAUGAUAGGACAAGGGGCAAUGGGUUCAAACUGGGACACAAGAGGUUCCACUUAAAUAUGAGAGGAAACUUCUUCACAGUGAGGGUGCCAGAGCACUGGAACAGGCUGCCCAGGGAGGUUGUGGAGUCUCCUUCCCUGGAGACAUUCAAAACCCGCCUGGACACCUUCCUGUGUAACCUCAUCUGGGUGUUCCUGCUCUGGCAGGGGGAUUGGACUGGAUGAUCUUUAGAGGUCCCUUCCAAUCCCUGACAUUCUGUGAUUCUGUGAUGUGUGUCUUGCACUCCAGGCUUCAAGAAUUCGCACCAUGCUGCUGUGGCCCAUGUGUCUUCCCAAGGCUUACGGGACUGACUGUUUGGGUAGCUUUUAAUAUUCUUUGCUAUUUAAUGUAGGUUUGCUUCUGCAAAAUCAAGUCAGCAAUUUAGUCAGGCAAUUUUAAAGAGGAUUAUAAGUCUUCUGAAGUCUUUAAUUCCCCACGGUUCAUUCACCUUAAGAUUUGAUGCACACAAUUAACUUCAGAUUUAUGUUAUUUGAAAGUAAGAACCUUUUUUUUUUUUUUUUUUUUUUUUUUUUUUUGUGGCAUUCUGCAGCUUUACAUUGUUUUCGAUCAGUAGCUUAAACUUUUGACAUUUGAAUAAUUCCCCUGGCUGAGAUCUGCAAAAUCAUUUGUAUCCUUGAAAUGUUCAUGCAUUUGAAAAAACAUUUUUGUAGUAAUACUGCCCAGUCAAAUUUUAAACCUUGCUGUCGCAUUUUCUGUAUGCAGUUAAGAGUUUAAAAAUAGAGUUGUCCCAAGGCAUGCCAAAAAUCUGGAGACACUCAAAACUCAUAGAAAUAUGUAAACUUUCAUAAUACAUUUAUUACAGGGAGAAAAAAAUAUGCUGAGACUUUUGCUUUCAAAAAGCCUUUGUCCAAUGCUUUAAAAAAAAAAGAGAAGGGAAGGGAAGGGAAGGGAAGGGAAGGGAAGGGAAGGGAAGGGAAGGGAAGGGAAGGGAAGGGAAGGGAAGGGAAGGAAAGGAAAGGAAAGGAAAGGAAAGGAAAGGAAAGGAAAGGAAAGGAAAGGAAAGGAAAGGAAAGGAAAGGAAAGGAAAGGAAAGGAAAGGAAAGGAAAGGAAAGGAAAGGAAAGGAAAGGAAAGGAAAGGAAAGGAAAGGUUGCCUUUGUUACAUUUUGACUCAUUUAUAGACAUCAAACUAUGUUAGUAUCCACUAGAUUGUACUAAAGUGCUUCCUUGGAAGAGUGUUGAUCAAGUGAAGUUGAUGUGAGCUGCAAGAUAGCCCAGAUUUUUAAAAGCUGCCUGUGCUUAUUCAGAUACAUAAAUGGAGAGAUUGGAGCCAGAGUGUUAGCAUUAUUAAAAAAAAAAAAAAAAAGUUAAAAAGCCAUAGCCUUUGAAGAGUUGAAAUUUCCGCAAAUUGAAUCUGCAUUUGUGAAAUCAGGGCAUCAUAUAAGGAAAUGUAGACCAUGUUACGAUUUCAGCACAGUUACUGGGGCCAUGGGGCCAGUCUUUGCACUGGAUAAACUGUGUGUAUGGUUGUUGUAUAAAGCAACAGUUCUUCAGCUGAUUAUCUCUCCUUUUCUUCUGCAUGAUGGAGCUACAGUGAGGAAGCCAUGAUUAAGCAACACAGAGAAAUGGAGCCAGGGGAGCUGGUGGCUGCUGGCAGCCUCCAGCAUCAGAGCGUGGACUCAAGUGUGGGACGUGAUCUGGCUCUCAGUAACCUUCAGCUGCCGCUUUUCUUGUUUGCUAAACUGCCUGGGUGGAAACUCCAAGCCGUGACUUUGUUAUGUGGGCUCCAUCCCUGCCCAGCACCUCCUUCUGGCAUCAGCACCACAGCAAACUGCUCCUUGGCUGUGGUACCCUCCCACUCCCCAAUUUCUUACGUAUUUCUCCCAGACAGCUGGAUCAAUGCACCCCUUGUUGACUUCUAACAAUGUAAAUUCAUUCUUAGCAAUUGUUGAUGUUUUCAUGUUCAAAGUAAGACUUAGAACUGAACCUAUUUUGGCAAAAAUAGAAUUACUACUUAACUAAAAUAACUAGCACUUUAUUUUUGCCUAAAUUGCUUGGCUUAAUGAGCAUUUCUCAGAUCGAGGUUGCUUGAAUGCUACUCAUACAGGUGAAUAAAGGAUAAAUAGUGUGAGUAAAUGCAGCAAGCUUAGAUUAUAAAUUGUUUGUAAAGUGCAACCUGCUAAAUGACAGUUUGAAUCUAGUUUCAUAGUUUUACUGAUUUGUUUGUUUUGGCUUGGAUCACUUUUAGGAAGUAAGAGCUAAAUUUUCAAGUCUUAACAAGCUGCCUAGACACCUAAAGCCCAGGGCUUCUGUGUCCUGAGUUAGCUAGUAAAUGCUCAGUUAUCUCCCCAGAUUAUCUGAUUGCCUUUCAGGAGUGAUUUCAUUUCAUCAGGCCAGGUGGUCAUGUCUCCAUGAUGCCUGAUGGGCCACAUUUUGGAUAGCUGGGCUUGCAUCUGAAUAUGUUGUCUUAGCUUCCACUGGGCAACUGUACAGACUUUAGACCAUGCCUCCUUCAUUCACUGUGUAUUUCCACAGCACAGCCUUUCCUCUUUUCUGGCUUAUUCAGCAUUACAGGUUUAUUUUGUUUUUUUUUUUUUGUUUUUUUGCAAAAAGAUCUUGUACACACAGCCGUUCUUCCUUCUUCUAACCUCAGUGUAAUACAAAGUUUGGGAAACAGCAGUUUAACAGAGCAGAGAUUACAAGGACUGGCCAGUUUUAGGUGAAAACUAAGGCAAUGUUCACUGUCUUCCGAAGUGUUGGUUGAUCACUUUAUUGUCUGACACCUGAUGGGAAGAAGUUGCUCCACACUCCUACCACAGCCCAGCAGUGGGCAGAGGAACUUCUCAAUUGAAGUGGUUACCACCUAGAGGAAAGAAAGGAUGCCAGAACUCAUCAGAUCCUAACACCAAGACCACCUCAUGGGUGUGGAUUAGCUGGAAUACAAGCCCAGAGAUGCUAUAUGGAACUGAACCACAUCUGUAUCGUGUCUAACACAAGAGCCUUUAGCAGCAGGCCAAGAGGAAUGGCCCAUUUAUGCCUGGACUCAAGUGGACAUCUACCAGCCAACAUUUACUGUCAGAUACCUGUCCAGGAAAAUUCCAAGCAGUGGUUAUUUCUGGAUUCUUUUUCUCAGAAGACAAAACAAUUCUCCAGACAAUUACCAUUGCUACUUGUUUCUACAUGGACCUCCCCCACAACAGGAAGAUGCUGAACUUGAUCCCCAGAAGUCCUUAGCUCUCUACCCUUUUCCUACUACCACAAAUGGACUCCAAAGAAGAUGCUGCUGCUCUUUGAUAAAUCCUUUCUCCUCAGAUCCUUGGUCAACCAUAGCCCAGAGGCAGAGCAUGCCACUUUACAUGGCUUGAAGUGCCAGCUUAGCAUUGCAUCUUCUGCUAUGAAGGACCUUUCACUUGUUGCUGCACAUCCCAACCCAACAAACCGGACAAAGACCAGGUGAAGUAAGUGUGUUGCCAGGCUGCAUUCCAGCACCACCACUGAAGAGUGGAGCAGGUCCUGGGAUCCAGGAGGACCACAGCUUGAAAGGUUUGUGGUACCACAAAGGGGAUGAUGUCUCACAGUUUGGCUGUGGAAUGAAGUGCUGCUUUUGGUCACCAUUAUCCUGGUGGUGCUGUCACCACAGCUGUCGCUGGGAUGGUGGCAGAUUCAAGGAUGGAGAGGCCCCACCCCCACAAAGGGCUCAUUCCACCAUGUCCAAGAAGUCUGGAAGAGGGACUGUGGACCAAGAGAGUGCUAGUGCAGGAGCAAUGGGCUUGGGCACAGGAAGACAUGGCCAGCAGCAGAUUGUGGACAAGGCUUAUGUCACAGAGGUAUACAGAUCUGCCUGUCACUGUGGACAUGAGUGACGAAGUGCCAUCUCCUCCUCACACUUGUUCCGUCCUCCUCCAACUUCCUUUUCUAGGAGCUGGCAGGUGUUUGUAAUGUUUGUUUCUGACCUUGUUCCCUCCUCUAUUUCAGUAAUAAACUCCUUAAUGUUAUUAUUUCA
Columba livia (rock pigeon) is the source of this 6237-nucleotide long non-coding RNA. RefSeq lists it as uncharacterized. The transcript is spliced from 2 exons. The record is from RefSeq and is a predicted model, not a curated record. NCBI's taxonomy places the organism in Eukaryota, Metazoa, Chordata, Aves, Columbiformes, Columbidae.